GCCGACUUAGCUCAGUGGGGAGAGCAACUGACUUGUAAUCAGUAGGUCGCCAGUUCGAGUCCGGCAGUCGGCACCA
This 76-nucleotide transfer RNA is filed under the name Francisella persica ATCC VR-331. Its description in RNAcentral is "tRNA-Thr". It matches the Rfam family "tRNA". Rfam says of the family: Transfer RNA (tRNA) molecules are approximately 80 nucleotides in length. Their secondary structure includes four short double-helical elements and three loops (D, anti-codon, and T loops). The record is from RNAcentral. Lineage: Bacteria; Pseudomonadati; Pseudomonadota; Gammaproteobacteria; Thiotrichales; Francisellaceae.